RNAcentral lists this ribosomal RNA (292 nucleotides) under uncultured bacterium. Its description in RNAcentral is "partial 16S ribosomal RNA". It matches the Rfam family "Bacterial small subunit ribosomal RNA", at positions 505 to 796 of the family's 1533-position model. The record is from RNAcentral.
GUGUCAGCAGCCGCGGUAAUACGAAGGGUGCUAGCGUUGUUCGGAAUCACUGGGCGUAAAGCGCGCGUAGGCGGCUAUUCAAGUCAGGGGUGAAAUCCUGGGGCUCAACCCCAGAACUGCCUCUGAAACUGAGUAGCUAGAGUGUCGGAGGGGAUAGCGGAAUUCCUAAUGUAGAGGUGAAAUUCGUAGAUAUUAGGAGGAACACCGGUGGCGAAGGCGGCUAUCUGGACGACAACUGACGCUGAGGCGCGAAAGCGUGGGGAUCAAACAGGAUUAGAAACCCUGGUAGUCC